RNAcentral lists this ribosomal RNA (253 nucleotides) under uncultured bacterium. RNAcentral's name for it is "partial 16S ribosomal RNA". It matches the Rfam family "Bacterial small subunit ribosomal RNA", at positions 524 to 776 of the family's 1533-position model. The record is from RNAcentral.
UACGGGGGGGGCAAGCGUUGUUCGGAAUUACUGGGCGUAAAGGGCUCGUAGGCGGCCAACUAAGUCAGACGUGAAAUCCCUAGGCUCAACCUAGGAACUGCGUCUGAUACUGGAUGGCUUGAAUCCGGGAGAGGGAUGCAGAAUUCCAGGUGUAGCGGUGAAAUGCGUAGAUAUCUGGAGGAAUACCGGUGGCGAAGGCGGCAUCCUGGACCGGCAUUGACGCUGAGGUGCGAAAGCGUGGGGAGCAAACAGG